CAAUUCGAUUCUUCCUUUCAUGUUUCUGAAAUGAGACUCUGAUUAAUUUGACCUAAAGAUCAUUCGUUAGUUGUUAUUUCAGAGGCAGCAUGACCUCUCACCAAAAUGGACCAGAGAAGCUAAGGCCGUAACUUCCAAGCUCCAGCUGAGUGUAUCUGGGGGGGAGGGGUACCCCAAAGAUGCACUGGGGACCUCCUCCACCAAGUUCCCAGGUCUGCAGCUCCCGGAGGCAGCUGUCUGCCUUCAGGGAACCCUCUCGCAGCGCUCACCCGGUGGCCGUGGUGAUGUUGUCGCCCACCCGCUUCCCGCCUCCAGCCCAGCAGCGCUGAGCUUCUCCGCGUCCGUUUCGCACUGGCUGGCCAAUUGGUGAAAUCGUGGUGGGGAGGGCUAAUCGCAGCCGGGUGCCCAUUUCCUGACCACUCCCAGGCUCGCCGAUUGCGUGCACCUGACAAGGGAAAAAUUCGGGCCAUGAGGUUGCAGCUAUAUCUGCUGCUGAUGCGUUGUGUUGUGAAAAUACUGUGAUAGGUUUUCUCCUGGAGGCAUCAGAAAGACUAAUCCGCUAUUAUUUGAAUUCCAUCCAUCCUCACCCACUCACUCCUUGUUCGAGAUGUUGAACCGACAUUUUGAUUGACGUAGCUAAGCAUCGGACUUGCCAGAAGAGUUGUCAUCCCCUUAGUUUAAUAGUCUGAAGAUUUCAACUGAUUAAGCAUUGUAAAGUUUCAUGGUUUGCAGAUAUGACUGAGGAGAGCAUUCCAAAUUCACAGAAUCACAGAAUUGUUACAGCACAGAAGGUGACCAUUCAGCCCAUUGUGUCUGCACCAGCUCUCCAAAUCCCUUCGUGUCAUUCUCCCAUCUUCUCUCCGUAACCCUGCACAUUCUUCCUUUUCAGAAAACAGUCUAAUUCCCUUUUGAAAGAUUUGAUUGUGCCUGCCUCUGCCACACUCUCAGGCAGUGCAUUCCAGACCUUAACCACUGGCUGUGUGAGAAGGUUUUCUCUCAUGUCGCUUUUGCUUUUUUUUUGCCAAUUACUUUUAAAUCUGUCCCCUCUCGUUCUUGGUCCUUUCACAAGUGACAACAGUUUCACCCUAUCUGCUCUGUCCAGACCACUCAUGAUUUUGAAUGCCUUUAGCAAAUCUCCUCUCAGCCUUCUUUUCUCCAAGUAAAACAGUCCUAACUUCUCCAAUCUAUCUUCAUAUCUGAAGUUGCUCACCCCUGGACACAUUCUCAGUGAAAUUUUUCUGCACUCUCCCCAAUGCUCUCACGUCAUUCCUAAAGAGCAGUGCCCAGACCUGGACCCAAUACUCUAGCUGACAUUGAAUGAGUGACUUAUACAAGUUCUACAUAACCUCCUUGCUCUUGUACUCUAUGCCUCUAUUAAUAAAGCCUAGGAUACUGUAUGGUUCAUUAACCUGUCCUGCCACCUUCAAUGACUUAUGCACAUACACACCCAGGUCUCUCUGCUCCGGCACCCUGUUUAGAAUUGUACCCUUUAUUUUAUAAUUUCUCUCCAUAUUUUUCCUAGCAAAAUGACUCACUUCACAUUUCUCCACAUUGAACUUCAUCUGCCGCCUUUUUGCUCACUCACUUAACCUCUCUAUAUCUCUUUGCAGCCACCUGUGUCCUCCUCACAGCUUACAUCUGCCCUUAUACUUCCUUUUGUAGCCUGGUGUCGAAGCUUUGUUUUAUAGCACUCCUGUGAAACAACUUGGGAUGUUUUAUCAUAUUAAAGGUGCUAUAUAAAUGCAACUAGUUAAAGUCGAAAUGAGAGAUUGGGGAACCCCACCCACGCAGAAAUUCUACCACUUAAUUUAUAUUGUUCCAUGAUGAGUAAGCCAGCGUGAGAAAUUUCAUUCAGCAGGUGGCAUAGUGGUAUUGUCACUGGGCUAGUAGACUUAUGGUAAUGCUCUGGGGACCUGGGUUUGAAUCCCACCA
Molecule: long non-coding RNA, 1932 nt
Organism: Carcharodon carcharias (great white shark)
Lineage: Eukaryota; Metazoa; Chordata; Chondrichthyes; Lamniformes; Lamnidae
Exons: 3
Source: RefSeq, a predicted model, not a curated record